CAAGGCGAACCGGGGAAACUGAAACAUCUCAGUACCCCGAGAAAAAGAAAUCAACCGAGAUUCCCCCAGUAGCGGCGAGCAAACGGGGAGCAGCCCAGAGUCAACAUCAAUAUUUACCACAGGAGAAGGGUCUGGAAAAGCCGGCAAUAAAGGGUGGUAGCCCCGUAUCUAAAGCGGUAAGUGUUGUGAACUCGAAGAGUAGGGCGGGACACGUGUUAUCCUGUCUGAAUAUGGGGGGACCAUCCUCCAAGGCUAAAUACUCCUGACUGACCGAUAGUGAACCAGUACCGUGAGGGAAAGGCGAAAAGAACCCCGGCGAGGGGAGUGAAAUAGAACCUAAAACCGUGUACGUACAAGCAGUAGGAGCACCCGAAAGGGUGUGACUGCGUACCUUUUGUAUAAUGAGUCAGCGACUUAUAUUCUGUAGCAAGGUUAACCGCAUAGGGGAGCCGUAGGGAAACCGAGUCUUAACUGGGCGUUAAGUUGCAGGGUAUAGACCCGAAACCCGGUGAUCUAGCCAUAAGCAGGUUGAAG
RNAcentral lists this ribosomal RNA (534 nucleotides) under Arsenophonus nasoniae (son-killer infecting Nasonia vitripennis). RNAcentral's name for it is "partial 23S ribosomal RNA". It matches the Rfam family "Bacterial large subunit ribosomal RNA", at positions 175 to 750 of the family's 2925-position model. The record is from RNAcentral. Lineage: Bacteria; Pseudomonadati; Pseudomonadota; Gammaproteobacteria; Enterobacterales; Morganellaceae.